CGAAGCUGCGGAUUUGUACUUAUGUACAAGUGGUAGGGGAGCGUUGUGUAAGCCUGUGAAGAUGAACCGGGAGGUUUGUUGGAGGUAUCACAAGUGCGAAUGCUGACGCAAGUAACGAUAAAACGAGUUAAAUGCUCGUUCGCCGGAAGACCAAGGUUUCCUGUCCAACGUUAAACGGGGCAGGGUGAGUCGGAGCCUAAGGCGAGGAUGAAAAUCGUAGUCGAAGGGAAACGGGUUAAUAUUCCCGUACCGAGCAAUAUUGCGAUGUGGUGACGGAGAAGGUAAAGUUAGCCAGGCGAUGGUUGUCCUGGUAAAAGGUUGUAGGUAGUAUCGAGGGUUAAAAGACUUGAUACCAUAAUCUGAGAACCGAGACGAAGUAGACACUGUCUAUCAAGUAACUCUAUCCAUGCUUCCAGGAAAAGCCACUAAGCUUCAGAUAUUGUUCGUCCGUACCCCAAACCGACACAGGUGGUCGGGUAGAAGAUACCAAGGCGCUUGGGAGAACUUAGGUGAAGGAACUAGGCAAAAUUGUACCGUAACUUCGGGAGAAGGUACGCUAUGAGGGGUGAAAAGAUUUACUCUUAGAGCUCUUUAUAGCCGCAGAUAAAUGGUGGCUGGGACUGUUUAACAAAAACACAGCACUCUGCAAACCUGAAAGGGGAAGUAUAGGGUGUGACACCUGCCCGGUGCCGGAAGGUUAAAUGAUGAGGUUAGCUCUUUUGCAACGCCUCUGAGUGAAGCCCCGGUAAACGGCGGCCGUAACUAUAACGGUCCUAAGGUAGCGAAAUUCCUUGUCGGGCAAGUUCCGACCUGCACGAAUGGUGUAACCAUGGCCACGCUGUCUCCACCUAAGACCCAGUGAAACCGAAAUCGCUGUGAAGAUGCAGUGUACCCGCGGCUAGACGGAAAGACCCCGUGAACCUUUACUGCAGCUUGACACUGAACCUUGAACCUAUUUGUGUAGGAUAGGCGGGAGACAUAGAAGUAUAGACGCUAGUUUAUAUGGAGUCACCCUUGAAAUACCGCCCUGAUAGUUUUGAGGUUCUAACUAAAGAUGAAUAUCUGAGGACAGUGUCUGGUGGGAAGUUUGACUGGGGCGGUCUCCUCCCAAAGAGUAACGGAGGAGCACGAAGGUUAGCUGAUCACGGUCGGAAACCGUGAGGUCAGUGCAAUGGCAUAAGCUAGCUUGACUGCGAGAGCAACAACUCGAGCAGGUGCGAAAGCAGGUCAUAGUGAUCCGGUGGUCCCUUAUGGACGGGCCAUCGCUCAACGGAUAAAAGGUACUCUGGGGAUAACAGGCUGAUACCGCCCAAGAGUUCAUAUCGACGGCGGUGUUUGGCACCUCGAUGUCGGCUCAUCACAUCCUGGGGCUGUAGUUGGUCCCAAGGGUAUGGCUGUUCGCCAUUUAAAGUGGUACGCGAGCUGGGUUCAAAACGUCGUGAGACAGUUUGGUCCCUAUCUACCGCGGGCGUUGGAUGAUUGAGGGGGAUUGCUCCUAGUACGAGAGGACCGGAGUGAACGAGCCUCUGGUUUACGGGUUGUCAUGCCAAUGGCACCGCCCGGCAGCCAAGCUCGGAACUGAUAACCGCUGAAAGCAUCUAAGCGGGAAGCAGGCCCCAAGAUGAGUCAUCCCUGACUUUAAGUCAAUAAAGACCGUUGUAGACUACGACGUUGAUAGGCUGGAUGUGGAAGUACCGUGAGGUAUGUAGCUUGCCAGUACUAAUUCUCUGAAUGUCUUGACC
This 1742-nucleotide ribosomal RNA is filed under the name wallaby gut metagenome. Its description in RNAcentral is "bacterial LSU rRNA". It matches the Rfam family "Bacterial large subunit ribosomal RNA", at positions 1195 to 2925 of the family's 2925-position model. The record is from RNAcentral.